UCCCCGAUAGUCUAGUGGUGAGGAUACCUGCUUGUCAUUGAAUGCAACGAUUCGCAGGGGACCGGGGUUCAAUUCCCCGUCGAGGAG
Colletotrichum lupini is the source of this 87-nucleotide non-coding RNA. The record is from the annotation of a RefSeq genome assembly. NCBI's taxonomy places the organism in Eukaryota, Fungi, Ascomycota, Sordariomycetes, Glomerellales, Glomerellaceae.